GGGGGUGUAGCUCAGUUGGGAGAGCACCUGCCUUGCAAGCAGGGGGUCAAGAGUUCGAAUCUCUCCAUAUCCA
This 73-nucleotide transfer RNA is filed under the name Clostridium sp. ASBs410. RNAcentral's name for it is "tRNA-Ala". It matches the Rfam family "tRNA". From Rfam's summary of the family: Transfer RNA (tRNA) molecules are approximately 80 nucleotides in length. Lineage: Bacteria; Bacillati; Bacillota; Clostridia; Eubacteriales; Clostridiaceae. The record is from RNAcentral.